RNAcentral lists this ribosomal RNA (353 nucleotides) under Polybia striata. RNAcentral's name for it is "partial 12S ribosomal RNA". Lineage: Eukaryota; Metazoa; Arthropoda; Insecta; Hymenoptera; Vespidae. The record is from RNAcentral.
UAUAAUUAAAUUUAAUUUUUAUUGAUUUUAAGGUAUUAAAUGAUAAAUCAUUAAAUAUAAAAGAUUUGGCGGUAUUUUAAAUAAUUAGAGGAACCUGUAUAUUAAUUGAUAUUCCACGAUAAGAUAAACUUAACUUAUGAUUUAUGUAUUGCUGUUUAAAGAUUAUUAUUGAUUAAAUUUUUUAAUUUUUAAAUUAUAAUUUAAUUCAGGUCAAAAUAUAGUUUAGUUAAGAUUUAAUAUGGGUUACAAUUUUUUUUAAUUAAUUGAUAAAUUUAAUUUAAUUUAUUUUUUGAGAUUGGAUUUAACAGUAAAUUUAAUGAAUUAAUUAUUUUGAAAUUUAAAAUAAAAUAAGU